GACGAACGCUGGCGGCGCGCUUAACACAUGCAAGUCGAACGGAAAGGCCUGCUUUCCCUUGUGGAUUGCGGGUACUCGAGUGGCGAACGGGUGAGUAACACGUGAGUGAUCUGCCCCCAACUUGGGUAUAAGCCUGGGAAACUGGGUCUAAUUCCCGAUAGGACUGCAGGGUGGUGCCUGUGGUGGAAAACGAUUUUCUAGUGGUUGGGGAUGAGCUCGCGGCCUAUCAGCUUGUUGGUGGGGUAAUGGCCUACCAAGGCGGCGACGGGUAGCCGGCCUGAGAGGGUGGACGGCCACAUUGGGACUGAGAUACGGCCCAGACUCCUACGGGAGGCAGCAGUGGGGAAGAUUACACAAUGGGCGGAAGCCUGAUGCAGCGACGCCGCGUGGGGGAUGACGGUCUUCGGGUUGUAAACUCCUUUCGACCGCGAGGAAGCCACCUGGUUGGAAGGGUGGUGACGGUAGUGGUAGAAGAAGCACCGGCUAACUACGUG
This 494-nucleotide ribosomal RNA is filed under the name uncultured bacterium. RNAcentral's name for it is "partial 16S ribosomal RNA". It matches the Rfam family "Bacterial small subunit ribosomal RNA", at positions 28 to 507 of the family's 1533-position model. The record is from RNAcentral.